ACUCUGCCUCCACCAUCACAGCCUCAUGGUUUCCACAGGGGAAUUCCAAGGCCUUGCUGUGAUGGGCUUGUGGGCUGGAAAGAAGACUGGAUUAAGUAACCCAUUAAGCCAUUGGCGUUCUUUGAGAGCCUGUUUCCUCUUAUGUCAGGUGCAGAGUAACUCUAAUGACGCAUGCUAGGCAGCAGCGUGGGACUCAGCUGAGUGUCGCUCCCUCUCCUUUAUCCGUGGAGGGAGAAAGUUCAUUGCUAAGGGUGUCAUCUGAAUGUGAAGGAAUAUAAAGCACGGUUGAAGAGGAGAGGCUCUAUUGUUAUUGAGACGUCAGUGGUGAGAGGAAGGGAAGAGGUGACCAGGAGCAUGCAGCACGGUGGUGGCACCGUUGGGCAGGGGAAGGUGUUGGGGGAUUGCAUGUUGGAGCCAUCAUUUUAGGAUGAGGCAAAUCGGAUCAAGCUUUUAGACUGAGCAGUUGGGGCAAGCGUUUGGUACAGCAGUUAAAGUAGCUACUUGAGAUGUCUGCAUCCCAUAUCUGUAUCCAUAUCUGCUUCUGAUCCAGUUUCUGGCUAAUGCCCAUUUUUGGAGGCCACAGGUGAUGGCGCAAGUACUUGGAUCCCUGUCACCCACCUGGAGACCCAGAUGGAGUUCCAGGUUCCUGGCUUUGGCCCAGCCUGUUAUAUGCCUGUUGUACCUAUUUGGGGAGUGAACCAGCAGAUGGAAGAUCGCUCUUUCCCUCUCUCUCUCUGGCUCCCUUCUUUCGAAGGAACACAAAUAAAAAUAAUAUUGUAGGCUGGCGCCGUGGCUCAGUAGGCUAAUUCUCCACCCUGCGGCGCUGGCACACUGGGUUCUAGUCCCGGUUGGGGCGCCGGAUUCUUUCCCGGUUGCCCCUCUUCCAGGCCAGCUUUCUGCUGUGGCCAGGGAGUACAGUGGGGGAUGGCUCAAGUGCUUGGGCCCUGAACCCCAUGGGAGACCAGGAGAAGCACCUGGCUCCUGCCUUCGUAUCAGCGCGGUGCUCCGGCCACAGCCCGCCACCCAUGGCAGCCAUUGGAGGGUGAACCAACAGCAUAAAGAAGACCUUUCUCUCUGUCUCUCUCUCUCACUAUCCACUCUGCCUGUCAAAAAUAAAUAAAUAAAUAAAUAAAUAAAUAAAUAAAUAAAUAAAUAAAUAAAAUUGAGAGGAGCCAGGGGAGCUGCUGAACAAGGCUAAGUCUCUAAGGGAGACUGAAGAAAAUGAAAAUAAAGUUGAGAUCCAGAUGGAGACAGGCAGCAGGGAGGAUGGAGCCACUUGUAGUGAGAACACUUAUGAGGCCUCCGUUUGGGGAAGGACUCAAGCCAUCGGCGGGUAUUGAGUCUUCUUGAAGUCAGCUCUUCUGAGUUGCUAAUGUCUGCUUCUGGGUAUGAGAAGGGCCCGAGGACACCACAAUUCACUUUGAGUGUGUGUGGAUGGGAUAAAUGAGGGUAUUGGGCCAAGCCUUUUUCCUUAGGGACAUCACCAAGAAGAAGCACUUCUCUGCCCACAUCACAGACAAGGUUAUCUCCUGGUGUGCCUGACCAGUAGAAGGGUGAUCCUUCCUCUUGGCACCCAGCAGGGCUCUGAGACCUCCACUGAAAGGCUCAUGAUGACUUGACAUUUUCGCAGGAAGCCAAACCCCAGGCCCUGCUUCAACUUGGGCCAACAUAGAGUUUGGGUGUCAGAGUGGGGUGCACAGUGCUAAGAGUAAGGAAAUGGGGUUCUUGGCCUGCUGAUGGCCUGGGAAAGCAGUGGAAGGUGGCCCAAGUCCCCUGCACCCACGUGGGAGACCCAGAAGAACCUCCUAGCUCCGGGCUUCAGCCUGGCCCAGCUCCGGCCAUUGCGGCCAUGUGGGGAGUGAACCAGUGGAUGGAAGACCUCUCUCUCUGCCUCUCGAGUACAUAAAUAAUUUUAAAAAUACAUAUGGUGAGAGGUGAACUAGAGCCAGAUAUUUCCCUAACCCAGGUGAGUUAGGCUCUGAGGGGGAAAAAACAACCCACAAUAGCUUGGGCUUUGCAAAGAACAAAAUGCUCUGUGGAGUUUGAAACGGUUACUUUCCCCCUCCCACUGCCAGAACCAUUUGGGGAGUUUCCUCCAAGACUCACUUGGAGAACGCGGCAGUGAGAGGGUGUCACUAGUCAGGGUUAGGGGCCUGGAACUCUUCCUCUCCUGCAGUGGAAGGCUGUGUCUUUAACUGUCAGUGUGAUGACAUCCGCCUUCCCAGAAUGCACCUGUCACAUCCAGGUCAUGGAUGCGUGCUUGCACCCGAACAGGUUCAUGGAGCCCCUCGGAGGGCGCACCAGCUGGAAGGAGCUGCACCUCCAGCGCGGAUGAAGGCUGCUGUUUUCUCUCUUCUCCACAGAGUGCUGCACGUGCGGAGCCAGGGACCCCUUGUGCGUGCUUUUCCCGUGCAGAGCCGUCCACCUUGGCGCUUUCCCGCUCUCUUUAUCUCCGUCGCGUGCACGGGCCACCUCAACCGCUGUGGACCUCCAGGGAUCCCAAGUGAAAAUCAGCGACGUUUACCAACGCCUCCUGAUGGCUGAAUCUCAGAACCGUUCUGCUCACCCGGGCCAAGCAUGGGACCCCCCCAACUCCUCCAUCCCCAGCACCCAGGCCUCUGUGGGCCCUGAGGACUUACUUCGGUGGACCUUGAGGACGGUGUACACCAUGCCGCUGUUUGCUGGGAGAUGCAGGAAGCCCACGAGUGCAGAACUUGAGGUGAAAAAUGGCUGUACCUGACGAUAGUGCCAAGUGCGGAGGGCAGUGCCAACCUUGGCGGU
This is a non-coding RNA of Oryctolagus cuniculus (rabbit), 2781 nucleotides long. Lineage: Eukaryota; Metazoa; Chordata; Mammalia; Lagomorpha; Leporidae. The record is from RefSeq and is a predicted model, not a curated record.